RNAcentral lists this ribosomal RNA (460 nucleotides) under uncultured eukaryote. RNAcentral describes it as "bacterial SSU rRNA". It matches the Rfam family "Eukaryotic small subunit ribosomal RNA", at positions 174 to 616 of the family's 1831-position model. The record is from RNAcentral.
CGCCCGAAGCCGCGAGGCGACGGGCGUUCUCGCCGGAUGUAGGAACCGACCCGGGGACCGCCGGGGCAACCCGGCGCCCCCGAGACGGGGCGAACCACGGUGAAAUGACGGAUCGUCGGCCCCGCGCCGGCGACUCGCCGAAUGAGUUUCUGACCUAUCAACUCGAGACGGCGGGGUAGAGGCCCGCCGCGGUAACGACGGGUAACGGGGAAUCAGGGUUCGAUUCCGUAGAGGGAGCCCGAGAAACGGCUACCACUUCCAAGGAAGGCAGCAGGCGCGCAAACUUACCCUAAUCUCGAUUCGAGGAGGUAGUGACAAGAAAUACCGAUGCGGGACCCUACGAGUGCCGCGUUCGGAAUGAGUACGAUUCGAACCACCUAACGAGGAACGAUCGGAGGGCAAGUCUGGUGCCAGCAGCCGCGGUAAUUCCAGCUCCAAUAGCGUACGUUAAAGUUGCUGC